This 27-nucleotide non-coding RNA is filed under the name Cricetulus griseus (Chinese hamster). Lineage: Eukaryota; Metazoa; Chordata; Mammalia; Rodentia; Cricetidae. The record is from RNAcentral.
UGAUAUUAAUCUAAGCUGUACUCCUAG